Molecule: long non-coding RNA, 491 nt
Filed under: Androctonus crassicauda
Lineage: Eukaryota; Metazoa; Arthropoda; Arachnida; Scorpiones; Buthidae
Source: RNAcentral
UUAAUAAGAUUAAUGAAAUGUAGAGCGAGAACAAAUAUUUCUUCAAAUGACAAAGAUGUCGAUUCAGAAAAUAUUCCAUUUGUGCCAGAUUUAUUAGUGCGAUAUUUCGGAUAUCUAAUCACUGUACUGCGCUGUCAUUGUGCGAUGAAUUUCUAUUGGUUUCACAUCUUCACUAUUCAAAAAACGCAUUACAGAUUCGCUGUUCUAGCGCGAUGCAUAUUGAUAGCGGAGCAGCCAUCUUAUUGUGAAUGCUACUGCUUUCUUCGGCGUUGCAGUAUCACUCUGCCACCUGUCAUCACUUUGUGAAUCUUAAGGAUCACUACUGCCACCUACCGAAUAAAUCGUACAACUUUUCACAAUUCUAUGGCACUUUUACAGCUGUAUUCUGACCUCUCUUGUUUAACACAAGUUUAAACCAAGUUUAAACCAGUGUCAGUUAGACUAAAGUCUAAACUAAAACUGUUGUUCCUAUUCUUACCGCAGUUCUGGAC